RNAcentral lists this transfer-messenger RNA (361 nucleotides) under Ignavibacteriaceae. Its description in RNAcentral is "IGN3 sp018059515 Standard tmRNA". It matches the Rfam family "transfer-messenger RNA". Rfam says of the family: Bacterial tmRNA, also known as 10Sa RNA or SsrA, is named for its dual tRNA and mRNA-like properties. Its role is to liberate the mRNA from a stalled ribosome. Lineage: Bacteria; Pseudomonadati; Ignavibacteriota; Ignavibacteria; Ignavibacteriales. The record is from RNAcentral. RNAcentral also lists the same sequence under 1 other name.
GGGGGUGAAUUUUGGUUUCGACGGGAUUAACGAGACUUAGAACUACAUACCGUGUUCCCCGAAUACACGUAAACGAAUUGGGAAAAAAACAAUAAAUGGCGAAUCUAAUUACGCCCUUGCUGCUUAAUUAAUAGUUAACAGCCGUUCAACUUAUCCUCUUGUAUCGGGCUAGGAUUGAACGACGUUUAGAUACAAUAGCUGAUUCUGUCUCUUGCGCAGGAAAAGCGAAAUAACAGCAAGUAGGCUUUAAGCGAUCUUUGUCUGUUUGGCAGCUUAAAGUCAAAAAUGAAACAGACUAUGUAUGUAGAUGUUCUUUGGAUCAUAAUUUCGGACGCGGGUUCGACUCCCGCCACCUCCACCA